CCUACGGGAGACAGCAGUGGGGAAUAUUGCGCAAUGGGCGAAAGCCUGACGCAGCGACGCCGCGUGAGGGAUGAAGGUCUUCGGAUCGUAAACCUCUGUCAGCAGGGAAGAACGGUCACUGUGCUAAUCAGCAGUGCAUUGACGGUACCUGCAAAGGAAGCACCGGCUAACUCCGUGCCAGCAGCCGCGGUAAUACGGCGGGUGCGAGCGUUAAUCGGAAUUACUGGGCGUAAAGCGCUCGUAGGCGGUAUGUCAAGUCAAGGGUGAAAUCCCCGCGCUCAACGUGGGAACUGCCUUUGAAACUGGCAAACGUGAGUGUGUGAGAGGAUAGUGGAAUUCCAGGUGUAGGAGUGAAAUCCGUAGAUAUCUGGAGGAACAUCAGUGGCGAAGGCGACUAUCUGGAACAUAACUGACGCUGAGGAGCGAAAGCGUGGGUAGCAAACAGGAUUAGAUACCCCAGUAGUC
This 465-nucleotide ribosomal RNA is filed under the name uncultured bacterium. RNAcentral describes it as "partial 16S ribosomal RNA". It matches the Rfam family "Bacterial small subunit ribosomal RNA", at positions 338 to 795 of the family's 1533-position model. The record is from RNAcentral.